UACAGAGGUGGCAAGCGUUGUUCGGAAUUACUGGGCGUAAAGGGCGCGUAGGCGGUCUCUCAAGUCCCGUGUGAAAUCCCCCGGCUCAACUGGGGAACUGCACGGGAAACUGUUUGGCUUGAGUUCGGGAGAGGGAAGCGGAAUUCCGGGUGUAGCGGUGAAAUGCGUAGAUAUCCGGAGGAACACCGGUGGCGAAGGCGGCUUCCUGGACCGAUACUGACGCUGAGGCGCGAAAGCUAGGGGAGCAAACGGG
RNAcentral lists this ribosomal RNA (253 nucleotides) under uncultured bacterium. Its description in RNAcentral is "partial 16S ribosomal RNA". It matches the Rfam family "Bacterial small subunit ribosomal RNA", at positions 524 to 776 of the family's 1533-position model. The record is from RNAcentral.